Molecule: ribosomal RNA, 258 nt
Filed under: Acinetobacter baumannii
Lineage: Bacteria; Pseudomonadati; Pseudomonadota; Gammaproteobacteria; Moraxellales; Moraxellaceae
Description: partial 16S ribosomal RNA
Rfam family: Bacterial small subunit ribosomal RNA
Source: RNAcentral
AACUGAAGAGUUUGAUCAUGGCUCAGAUUGAACGCUGGCGGCAGGCUUAACACAUGCAAGUCGAGCGGGGGAAGGUAGCUUGCUACUGGACCUAGCGGCGGACGGGUGAGUAAUGCUUAGGAAUCUGCCUAUUAGUGGGGGACAACAUCUCGAAAGGGAUGCUAAUACCGCAUACGUCCUACGGGAGAAAGCAGGGGAUCUUCGGACCUUGCGCUAAUAGAUGAGCCUAAGUCGGAUUAGCUAGUUGGUGGGGUAAAG